Molecule: long non-coding RNA, 333 nt
Organism: Ipomoea triloba (trilobed morning glory)
Lineage: Eukaryota; Viridiplantae; Streptophyta; Magnoliopsida; Solanales; Convolvulaceae
Exons: 2
Source: RefSeq, a predicted model, not a curated record
UUCCGGCAUGGUGUCGCCGUAGAAUCCCUCCAUCCCUGUCCCCACCAAGUGCUUGUUGUCCACUGAUUUCGCGUAGCUUGCCAUUUCCGCAAUCCAUCCCUGCAAGUGCAUGCAUUGUUCCCAGAGAGAUCAGAAGCGCAACGAGGCUCGUUUAUGAGUUCCCAUGCCAUGAUGGUUGGAUCAUCCUUAUAAGCAAUCCCACUAUUUGUAUUCAUUCUUGUUAGCACUGUCUGCAACAACAAACCAUGCAUGCAUGUAUAUUAUUUAUUUAUUUAAUUAGAAAAUAAUUAAUAUUAUUCAAUCAAAAGGGAAAAAAAAUCCCAUUUUUAACUA